Molecule: long non-coding RNA, 1001 nt
Organism: Daphnia magna
Lineage: Eukaryota; Metazoa; Arthropoda; Branchiopoda; Diplostraca; Daphniidae
Exons: 6
Source: RefSeq, a predicted model, not a curated record
AAAAAAAUAUAUUUCUCUAUUUCCUCAUGUUUAACUCGUAGCCAUCUAGCGCUCGAAGUCGUAAUAACGUGCAGUUCCUAUCCGCAGCCCCCCAGUCCUACACUGUGAAAAAAAAGACAGUUGAAAAAAUCUGCUCAUUGUGCUAAUCUGCACAAUGCUAGCUGUGGACUUUCUUUUUUAGAUGACUCUUGUAUUGUAAAUAUUUUCCUGCUUCUUGGAACAAGGAACAUAGGAUGUCUUGAUGCUAACGAAGUGUCAUUGGAAAGAUUGUUAAAAGAUGUUAAGCAGGAGAAACCUAAUGUUGGAGGACAAUACAUUUGUUUUGCGUUACUAGUUUUGUUUUUAAAAAUGGUUGACACCCAUACACAAAGCCAUGGGUGAUAGAUGAUAUUCACAGCAGGCACAACUGUUUUGUAAAUUGGUAUCACUUUUACAAACCCAAACAGCAGAUUAAGAUCAUGUGUCUACUGUAAAAGAGAGCAUGUGUCUUAAUGAAAAUGGCUCUCUGUUUGCGACAUCAUACCUCCACAGGGUGUAAUUUUGAUGCAGAGCUCUUGAAAUCAAGUUGAACGUUUUGAACCAUCUCAGGCCAAAGCUGGAGUUCUAGAGGUAUUAGAAAAGUCGUCGCUUUUUGGUUAGAGUUUCUUCGCCGUCCGAUGCAUAAAUUGGAAUGAUGUCCACUUCCUCGACGUCAUUGCUCACGUAAUUUAAUAACUUGUGCUUCGAAAAAAGUUGUACUUUACGGCAUCAAGUUAAACGACAUUUUAAAAUGACAACAGUCGGAAGUGCAUGUGGAUAUUUCGAAGAACGAUACCUAAACGUUACCUUUAGUCGCUGAUUCAUCUCGAAGAUAAAAUAAGUUAUUUUUAGAAAUUGAAGUGUAUAUCUGGGCUCCCUUCUUUUCUGUGGCCCCGUUUCCCCUUGACUUAUGAUAAGCCCGCAGGGGGUCAUGCCCCUACUGUGAUCAGCAGCAAAGGUUGUGAGUGCGCUGUCCGGAAAGG